RNAcentral lists this transfer RNA (72 nucleotides) under Heterocephalus glaber (naked mole-rat). It matches the Rfam family "tRNA". From Rfam's summary of the family: Transfer RNA (tRNA) molecules are approximately 80 nucleotides in length. The record is from Rfam by way of RNAcentral. Lineage: Eukaryota; Metazoa; Chordata; Mammalia; Rodentia; Bathyergidae.
UGGGAUGUAGCUCAGUGGCACAGUGCUUGCCUAACAUGUGCCAGACCCUGGGUUUAAUUCCCAGUAUCACAA